CCUUUUCACUCUUCACACUCUGCUCUCCCUCUCUCCCUGCACUAGAUUCGUUUCUUCCGGCAUUAAUGAGAAACACCUGUUAGAGCUACUUGGCAGGCAUGCCUUGUUCAGGUCCCAUUAGACUUCUAGUCCCUCUCUUCCGUACAAUGUGGUGUCUUUGGUUCAGUUAUAAAAAAUAUGCACUUUUGAGGACAUCAUUUUGCAAUCUUCAGAAUACAAGAGCAGCGGACCUUGAGACAAUCCUGGCAGGCGGGUGCUGUGAUUGUGGCAGGAGAGGAAAGAGAGCAGGGAUAGGAGCCAUGCUGCUCCUAUCCCUGCUCCUGGCUAAUGUCCAGUCUAGAAAAAAUGGGACUUGGCUUGCCAAGCAACUGGAAAUUCGACAUCAACCAACCAUCAACAUCCCGGAUCAAGCACUCGGCAGGUGGAGCGUGUGCCAAGCUGACAGCACAAGACUUCAGCAAGAUGAGAGGAGGCUAGGAAGUUACUCUAUUCUAAUAUGCAUUUAACUAUCUGUUGUGUUCUGUGUGUAGCAUGAAGUUAUACAACCUUGUGCUGUAUAAUGAUAAAUAAAUUACCUUGAUCCUUGGUCUAGGCUACUGUACUUCUGUCAGUAUUGUGUCCCCAAGUGCAGCAGAGGGAAGGAGAGAAGUGGUUGAGGGGAAAAAAGAGUGUCAAGAGGUGUAAAGAGACAAACAAGCACUUAUUUUCACCUUUUUCUACUUUUGAUAGCCUCUGGAAGUGUAAGUCACACUGAAUGAUAUCAGUAUGUAUUUCAUGUCUUUCUGUUAAGAUUUGACUGUGUAAUAACUCAGAGAAAAGUAAGAUUUUUAACUCCCCUCAUGCAGUAUGUUUGCCUCUUGUCACCCCUCCCCUUAAACUCUAGAGGUUUUGGCUUUCUCCUGCAAAAUGUCCAUGUCUGUUACAGACCAUAUCCUGUAAUUACACACAUGAGUUAAAUUACAGAGGAGCACAGUGAAUCCCCACCUUCCACUGUAAUGUUAAUCUGUAAUGUUGUGUCCCCUCAACUGGCUUGAUAACGUUAGCCGCUAGUUUUCCUACUUUCAGAAAUCACUUGGUUUUGUUCAGAGUCGCAGGGUGUGUGAACCCCACAGCUCCACUGCGUUUGUAGUGCUGUGUGCGGUCACUGAGGCAAACAUUAGGCUAGCUGUUGAUGAUAAGUAAAUGCCUCCAAAAUGCUGAAUGGUUGCUUGUUAAACUAUAAAGUCACAUAUUCUGUUUCUAUGUGUAAAACACCGAAUAUUAGAUGUGAGUAGAUGAGUAACAAAAGUCAUGUAACGAGUAAUAAAGAAAAAAUUUAAUUACUUUA
Long non-coding RNA from Micropterus salmoides (largemouth bass), 1327 nucleotides. RefSeq lists it as uncharacterized. The record is from RefSeq and is a predicted model, not a curated record. NCBI's taxonomy places the organism in Eukaryota, Metazoa, Chordata, Actinopteri, Centrarchiformes, Centrarchidae. The transcript has 2 exons.